CGGUGGGUGAUGGCGAGCCAGGCCAUGGUGUAGCCGAACAAGUUGAGCAAUGCGGAGACGAACAUGGUGAGACGGGGUCCGACUCUCGCAUUGAGCAAGCCGGCCAGGAAAGCCAUGCUGGUGCCGAGAUCCUUGAAAAAACUGAUGGUAUUGACGGACUCUUGCUUGUAAUGCAGGGAGACUUUGAGCUCCUGUGAGAACAAGCUGAAGCUGGUGAGCGUGCCUCCGGUGAUUGCUAUCAGAUAGAAGCCCGACACUGCGAUGAUCCAGCGAUUGCUGGCGAUGGAGAAGAGUUCCUUGGCCAUUGCUAGCGCCAUUGCCGCCAGCGCUGUGAGUCCGUGCCACGACCGGACUUGCGUCGACGAUCUUUCCUGUUCGAUACAAAAACGUGACAAUUCCGAAGUUUCGUGGCUCCAAAUUUUCUAUGUCGUGGGUCAACUAAGUUGAGCAUUGACGCUUGAUGUGGAUCUGGGGCAGGGCCAGAUGCGGACGCUGGUCAAGUCACGGGUACGGAAAAGUCUACAAAAUGGUCUUGAGCGGGGGCGGAUCCGGAAUCGGCGCAAUGGGCACUGGGAGGACACUGAUAUCCGCAUCUCAAAGUUGAGAAAGCCUAGCAUCCAAGCAUACA
Molecule: long non-coding RNA, 628 nt
Organism: Selaginella moellendorffii
Lineage: Eukaryota; Viridiplantae; Streptophyta; Lycopodiopsida; Selaginellales; Selaginellaceae
Exons: 3
Source: RefSeq, a predicted model, not a curated record